This 449-nucleotide ribosomal RNA is filed under the name uncultured bacterium. RNAcentral's name for it is "partial 16S ribosomal RNA". It matches the Rfam family "Bacterial small subunit ribosomal RNA", at positions 29 to 523 of the family's 1533-position model. The record is from RNAcentral.
AACGAACGCUGGCGGCAUGCCUAACACAUGCAAGUCGAACGAAGGCUUCGGCCUUAGUGGCGCACGGGUGCGUAACGCGUGGGAAUCUGCCCCUCGGUUCGGAAUAACAGUUAGAAAUGACUGCUAAUACCGGAUGAUGACUUCGGUCCAAAGAUUUAUCGCCGAGGGAUGAGCCCGCGUAAGAUUAGGUAGUUGGUGGGGUAAAGGCCUACCAAGCCGACGAUCUUUAGCUGGUCUGAGAGGAUGAUCAGCCACACUGGGACUGAGACACGGCCCAGACUCCUACGGGAGGCAGCAGUGGGGAAUAGUGGACAAUGGGCGAAAGCCUGAUCCAGCAAUGCCGCGUGAGUGAUGAAGGCCUUAGGGUUGUAAAGCUCUUUUACCAGGGAUGAUAAUGACAGUACCUGGAGAAUAAGCUCCGGCUAACUCCGCGCCAGCCGCCGCAGUAA